AACUUAUCCAGAGAGGUGGAGGGAUUUGGCCCUAUGAAACCUCAGCAACCGAUCGAUCGACACGGUGCUAAUUCCAAUAAGCGUAUGGCUUUGAAGAUAAGUU
Molecule: non-coding RNA, 103 nt
Filed under: Heyndrickxia ginsengihumi
Lineage: Bacteria; Bacillati; Bacillota; Bacilli; Caryophanales; Bacillaceae
Description: Bacillus ginsengihumi SAM-I sequence
Rfam family: SAM riboswitch aptamer (S box leader)
About the family: The SAM riboswitch is found upstream of a number of genes which code for proteins involved in methionine or cysteine biosynthesis in Gram-positive bacteria. The SAM riboswitch acts at the level of transcription termination control. The predicted structure consists of a complex stem-loop region followed by a single stem loop terminator region.
Source: Rfam by way of RNAcentral